AGAUUGAACGCUGGCGGCAGGCCUAACACAUGCAAGUCGAGCGGCAGCACGGGUACUUGUACCUGGUGGCGAGCGGCGGACGGGUGAGUAAUGCCUAGGAAUCUGCCUGGUAGUGGGGGAUAACGCUCGGAAACGGACGCUAAUACCGCAUACGUCCUACGGGAGAAAGCAGGGGACCUUCGGGCCUUGCGCUAUCAGAUGAGCCUAGGUCGGAUUAGCUAGUUGGUGAGGUAAUGGCUCACCAAGGCGACGAUCCGUAACUGGUCUGAGAGGAUGAUCAGUCACACUGGAACUGAGACACGGUCCAGACUCCUACGGGAGCAGCAGUGGGAAUAGUUGGACAAGUGGGACGAAAGCCUGAUCCAGCCAUGCCGCGUGUGUGAAGAAGGUCUUCGGAUUGUAAAGCAACUUUAAGGUGGAGGAAGGCAAGUUACCUAAAUACGUAUUCGUGUUUUGACGUUACCGAACAGUAAUAGACACCGGUACUAACUCUGUACG
RNAcentral lists this ribosomal RNA (498 nucleotides) under uncultured soil bacterium. RNAcentral's name for it is "bacterial SSU rRNA". It matches the Rfam family "Bacterial small subunit ribosomal RNA", at positions 26 to 509 of the family's 1533-position model. The record is from RNAcentral.